RNAcentral lists this transfer RNA (63 nucleotides) under Plagiodera versicolora (willow leaf beetle). Its description in RNAcentral is "tRNA-Phe". Lineage: Eukaryota; Metazoa; Arthropoda; Insecta; Coleoptera; Chrysomelidae. The record is from RNAcentral.
ACUUAAGUAGCUCAAAAAGAGUAUAGCAGUGAAGAUGCUGAGGUAAUAAUAUAUUCUUAAGUA